Molecule: non-coding RNA, 15647 nt
Organism: Equus caballus (horse)
Lineage: Eukaryota; Metazoa; Chordata; Mammalia; Perissodactyla; Equidae
Source: RefSeq, a predicted model, not a curated record
AGUUAGCUCAGGGCUAAUCUUCCUCCAAAAAAAAAAAAGAACUACCAACAAUGGUUAAUGUUUUCAUUCACAAACAGAAAAUGGAAUCUAAUUAAACAGAUUUUCUUCCUCCUGAACUGUUCAUACCAAAUCUUCAGAGAUUCAGGCUCAUUGCUAAAAAAAAAAAAAAAAAAAUGUUUACUCCUCAAAGUUGGGAGCAGGAGAUGUAAGAAGAGAAAUUGUGAGGAAGUUCAAGAAAUACUAUUUUAUUAUCAUUUGCAUAGGUUAAAAAAAACCCCUUAAAUUCUAAGAACAAAAUGCCAUGUAUUAAUCCGAAAACAGGCCUCCUCCUGGAAGCAGCUGCGAAAAAGGCUGAAAUGAAAGGGGUGAAGAACCUCACGCCUUGUGAAUCUCAGUACUGCGCAGCACAACAAAUGCAUAAAAUUGCUGUAUGGCAACAUGACAUGAUAGCUUAUUUAUUUAAUUGAGUUGAGAGAAUCAUCAUUUUCUUUAAGCCACUGAGCAAAAUAGAAUGUAUUCCAGCGCUCAAGAAUAAUAUUGGGAGAAGCCACAGGGCAGAACAUAGUGCUGGAUGAGAAUGGGGUCCUCUGACUCCCGGGGCAAGGGGUGCGCUGGGGAGUUUCUAACUAUUCCUUGUUUUCCACCGCUCAGAUCCAUUCUCCUCCCCGCUCUGGGUCCAGCAGUCAGACCUCUCCAGCCUCUACCCUCCAGCUCCUCACUCUCUGGAGUCAGGUUGGGUUUGGCCGAUGGAAGACACUGGCAGGGCCUUGGAAGGUGGGAGGAGAGAUGUCAGGGUAUUUAUGCCUCCCUCUCUUCCCCCCGCUGUGAUUCUGUUCCUCCGUGGCCGUGGUUCUCAGAGUGGUCAACACACCAGCAGCAUCUGCAUCACCUAAGAGCUUGUUAGAAAUGCAAGUUCUUGGCCCUUCCCUGAACCUUCUGAAGGGUCCAGCAACCAAUAGUCUAACAAGCCGUCCAGGGAUUUCGAUGCUCUCAGACUCUGAGAACCGCUGACAUCUGGCCCCAGUUCCUGGUGGGCACACCUUCCUCUGCACUCCCAGCUUUGAUGGGACUCCCGUGUUUCUGUCCCCUUCUUUUGUCCCUUCUGGUCUGGAUUCUCAGCACAGCUAGUGUUUCGGUAGCUCACAGACCCUUGUCAGCUGCCUUGUCCCUGCCUCCUAGCGCUUCGUAGAGUCUCUUCAUUUGUAUCGUUCGGGUUCGCUGCCUGUCUGCUGCUGGGAGCGUGAUUGACAGAGAGAGGCGCCAACUGUGGACGAAGGCUGGAAGCCAAAGUGUGCAGGGAUAAGAACAGCGUGGUCAGAUCACGACAGAGACCGCAUGGGGAGAGAACCUCUGCUGCGUGCCAGGCGUCCACGCAAAAUAGCCCUGAUGUGCUGGCGAGCAGAGGAAGGCAGUGCCGGAGGCGUGCUGGAGGAGGCGUGGGUUACCGGAGCUCUCCCAGUGUGACCUGGCAAGUUCGGCUCCCUCUGCUUGGAGCAGUCUCUGUCCUCAGCUGGCUAACCCCUACUCACUCCACUCAGACACCAUCCACGGACCUGGUCCCUGGCCCCAGCUACCCCGGGCACAGUUAGUUGUCCCUCUUCCGUGUCCCCCAGUUCCAUGCGUUCCUCCAUUGCCAUGGUUGCCACAGGUGUGGGGGUCCGUUUCCUCCCCAAGGGCAGGCAUUUGUCUUGCUCAUCUUUGCACCUCGGGCCUAGCCCAGGGCCUGGCGCACGGCAGAGGCUCAGUACUCCCAGAUGGCUAGCGCUGCAUUUGGGAGCAGCUCUGCGAGAGGACUUGCCUCGGGCCUGCUCUGUCCCCCAUUCUUCCCUGGCUAAAACACAUACACAUUUAUAUCUUCCACAGACAUUGACAGGCUGCCUGCUGGGCUCCAUGCUGGAUGCUGGAGAUGCAGGAGUGAUCAGAAGAAGCUCUCCUGGAGCCCGCAGGCUGUUAGACAGGACGGCCGUGUGCCCGACAAUGCUAACGCAGAGCAGAGGCCCUCAGUGGCCAGGGAGGAGUGUGCUGUGGGAUGAGAGGAAGAAGGAGUGGCUCCUAGUUGGGAUCAGGGAGGACUUCACGCUCUCUUUCCUUCCCCCAGGGACGUCUUCCUGUUUCUAGUAUGGUGAUUGCUGCUGUGGUGAGGUGGGCUGAUCACACACAGAAGCCCCCCACCCCACCAGUCCCUCUGCCUACCUUGUCUAUGGGCUUGGUCCUGUGUUACGGUUUCUUAAGAAAUACCGCCCCUCACCACUCUGGGAAUGUUUUAGGAAUCUCAACCAAAUAUGAAUCUCUUUGAUUGGCACAGUGAUUAGGGCAUCUGCUGGCAAGGUCAGGGCAAGGUCAGGGAGGCCAUAUACCCUGCGAAGCCCAGGACAGUCUGGCUCAGUGAACAAGUGUGGUAGGUUGCACACGACUCUCCAGUGCCCUGCCUGACAUUCGAGAGCGUGAAAAACCUGUUUAUAAUGCUCUGAGACUAAAACCUAAUCCCGUCUCACAUGUAAACACAAAAGUACUUUCUGCUCGAUUUUGAUAAACACUGAAUUUCCCAGAGGUGCAGCUGUUGUAUAAAUCAGAGAAGACUGUACCUUGUUUUGUCUGGAACUUGGCCAAGGGUUGUUCAAAGGCUUGGAAAUCAUGUCACCAGUGGCAACGGUCACAUUUGGUGCCCAGUUGGACUUUCCUUUAUCAGUCUGCAUUUACAACUGUUACAUUCAUAUUUAUUUAAUCCUUAUUUUACACUGCCAAGAAUAAGGAAAAAGUGUUGACGAUAUAUACUUUUUCAAGCAAAUGCAACAGAGCUUACACCAAGUGCUAAGGAGAGGUGGGCGGGUGGUGAGAAAAUGAGUAAUUUGAGGACGGGAGCUCUUUUAGGUAGAGAGGUCAAGGAAUCCUUUCUGUGGAGGUGAUGUGAGGUGAAAGCUGAAGAGUGACAAAGAGCCAGCCAUGCAAAGGCCCUGAGGUUGCCAUAGCUGGGCACAUGCUAUGUACUGUCAGAACACCCAUGUGACUGGAGUGCAAGUGAGCCAGGGGAGAGCAGCAGGGACCGAGGCUUAAGAAGUAAAAAGGGCCUUGAAACCACGUAUCGGGCUGGCUGCUGCGUGAAGAAGCGGUGGAACAGGCGAGGAUGGAGGAAGAACAGGUCAGAAUGGAGAGCAGGCUUCCAGGAGGGUGAAGAGCAGGGCUGCCAUGUUGCUUCAGACCAUGGUGAACCAACCUCAGGGAAAACAGAAGGAAGAGGAAAGAUUCUCAUUGCGGAGGGAAAUCUCUACAAGCAGCCUGUUAAGUAGUAAAUGUUACUGCUGUGCCUGAACGGAGUUAUCAUCCACGGGAAGCGUCAGCUGAUAAGGUGUACAACACAGAGUAGGUCGUCCCACCUGCUGAGCUUGGAGGCAAUUCCUUCAUCAUCUGGGGAGAUGUGCAUUCAACAUCAUCGUCCUUCCUCUCCUCCAAAUGCAACCUUGGUUUGCACGGUAGUUGGGCCUAUUCUGGAUGUCGGCUCUGGAAAUUCCACUCCAUCUACUCUGAGUGAAAACGGACUUGGUUGGGAGAAUCUCAGGAUGUGUGGCUGAAUCCAGCCUCAGAAAUAAAGCCAGGCAGCAGGACCAGAGCUGGCCUGGGGUGCUGUUCCAAGCCGGGAGUCUUUGCUCUGUGUCACUUAUUCAUGCUUCUCUCUUUGCUGUUCUGUCUUGCUGUAGUCCAGCUUUCUCAGUUUCCCAGUUCUCGUGGUGGGACGUGGUCACCUCUACCAGCUCCCAAGGGUCCAUGCUACAGCCCAGCCAUCUAGAGAGAGUCUGCCCUCUUCCCCGAAUGCAGCAUCCCUCCCCAGACCAGUCCACUGUAAGCAGGGGGUAGGUCACACUUUAACAUGGAACUUUGGCUGCAACUCUAUGGAUGGGGUGAGGAAGGAUGAAUUUCUAGAAAAGCAAUAGUAGGAAGAUAACCCAAGAGAUGUCCAUUGCAUUGCUAGCAAGAGCCCAGAUUCACCCCACAAAUGGAUAGCAAGCUCAGGGACUCCCGCCAUCUUGUAAUUCAAGUUCUGACAUUGAAGCCCAUAAAUACCUACAAAUGAAAAGGGGCUGUGAAGGACAGAGAGCGUGUAUUUCUGAUUCCAUGUGGAGCUGUGACCAGAUCUGAGUCCCGCACACUCACCACCUCAUUCUCAGAGCUUGUGCUGUUGAUUUAGUCUUGGGGGCAUCACUCCUCGACCCAAACCAGGUUUCCUUUCCCCUCUUUGGCCCGGCUCCUCACUAAGUAAUAUCCACAAUAUACCAGGGGCUUGCAGCCACAGUGAUGAAGCUGCUGCCCCUCGAAAACAUUGCUUCUCUACAUUAUCUCUCAGCCUCCCAACAACCCCAUCUUCUAGAUGUGGACUUGAGGCUCACAGAGGUUGAGCAAUUUGCUAAGGUCAUAUUGAUAGGAAGAAGGGAACUGGGACUGGCUCUCACACAUUUCUAGCUCUACAGCCUUUAUUUAUUUCAUAACACUACACUAGUCCCUCCACACAACAACACAUCUCAAGACCAGGGUGUCAGCAAGAGAAAACAGGGAAACAAUGGACAAGAAAAUGGGCCCGUAAUUUCUACAUUCGAAAAAGGAUGUAGAAAUGCACGGGUGGACCCGACGUCUGCUGGAUUCUUAGUUGCUGUGGCCUCAGGUUGGCUUAGAACUGUGUUCCAUAACUGCGGAAGCUCAUAGUCCUCUUCUGGAUGGGGUGGAUUUCCAGGGGGCUUUUGGGCCCAUUUUCCCCUUGUCACUCAGGUUCUGUGGCCCAUGGGUGCUUUCUACGUGGGACAUAGCAUUGACCCAGACAUGAAAACACAUUCCUUUUCUUAGGUAACAUCCUGAGCCUAAGUAAAACACAUCCACACAAAGUUUUCCACUAUUGCGAACAUAGUAAUCUUCCCGGAGGAUGUGGAGGUGGGCUGAAGACGGGUUUCUACCCGUCUACACAGUCAGUCUAAGGUUUGACAUUAGUCACUCCCAUACUUACAUUAUCUUAUGGUCAUCACAUCCAGGGACAUUUCCACUCACUCCUCACCCCAUAGAGUCCCCUCACCACUUGCCAUCUGCAGAACUCCCCUCUCUCCCUCUCCUACCUUUUCUUGAGUGUCAGGGUAAAACACGCGGUCUUCUCAUUUUCUAAUGCUAAUAGCUGCUAGAUGCAAACCGGCUCACUAUUCUGAGCCUAUCUUAUAGUCCCUGGGUGGAACCAGAGCCUCUGCUCGUGGAAAGCCCCCUCCCCUCUCUGCCCUGGGGCCGCUCUCUCCAUUCUCCCCAGGUCUAGCAUCCUCUGUCCACCUGGAGCUGAAGCCGCUCACAUCAGUACCUGCUGUUGGAAGUCAUCUUUCUCUGACAGCACUAGCUUGGCCCUCCUGCCUGGAGCCUCCAGAAGCAGCCAUCCCUGAGGAGAGAGAGAAGGCAUUUCCUCCAGGUGGAGCAGCCAAGAAGAAAAGCUCCUCCAGCUAAUGAUCUCUCCACAUUGGCGGCAGGAGGAGACGAUGGUUUCUGGCAGCCCCUGGUGUACAUUAUUUCAACUCCCUGACCAACAAGAAAGAAAGAGUGUUGUGAUCAUUGGUUCACGUGAUAAUGCUGAGGGCGGAAAGCUCCCCCUAGACCACGAUUUCUGUUCAAUGUGAUGGAGGCAAAGGGGACAACUCCUGUAAACUGACAGCACUUACCGGUUAUGCUCUCCUGCAUGAGCACCAAGGACCUGGCCACGUGAGUGUGACCAUCAGACCCCGGCAGGGGUCAACACCGGUCAUAGGCCUGCAGAGCUGGGCCGAAGAGCAACGCCGAUCACAGCAGGAACAGCAGUUUUAGAAGCUCCAGGCGCUAAGUGUUCUACACGUGUUAUCUUCCUUGACUCUCCGAGCAGCUCUGGAAGGUAGGUACCAUUACUGUCAUCAUUUUGCAGCUGAGCAAACUGAGGCUCAAAGACGUUGAGUAAAUCGCUCCAGGUCACAACUGAGAAAGCGGUGGUUUUGAACGUGGGUGAUGUGGCUUCUACUCUCCGCUCUCUCUGCUCUGCUGUGUGGACUUUCAUGAACACGCCGCGACCCAAGCCAAGACCAGGAGCCUCUGGGUGGGCGGCCCGGGCAUCUCCGUGUACUCUGUGGAGCUGGCAGGUGGGUACUAUUGUGGACUCGCCCUGGGAACGAUUUGUUCUCCGUGAAUCUCCAGCAAGGUCAGGAUUUCAGCUGCCACUGCUCUGGGAAACAUCUUACAGGAAACAGCAAAGAAAAGCUUGGCCAAAAAAUGCAGCAUAUUAGAGCAGGAGAAUAUAUAGAAGCCCCCUUGUCCACAGGGAGCGCAUUCUAAGACCCCCCAUGGGUGCCUGAAACACAGAUAAUACCAAACCCCAUGUAUACUGCACGUCUUUUCCUGGACAGUCAUGCAGUCGCUUAACGACAGAGGUUUGUUCUGGGUAACGCGUUGUUAGGUGACUUCGUCAUUGUGCGAACAUCAUAGUGUGUACUUACACACACCUAGGUGCUAUGGCCUCUACACACCUAGGCCGUUUGGUACCAAUCUUCCGAGACCCCCAUCGAAUAUGUGGGCUGUCCUUGACUGCAGCGUUGUUACAUGGCGCGUGACUGUGCAUACAUAUCUAUGAUAAAGUUUAAUUUAUAAAUUAGGCACGGUGAAAGAUUAAGAGCAAUAACUAAUAAUCAAAUGGAGCAAUUAUAACAAGAUACUGUAAUAAAAGUUACCAUAGCUCUUAGCCACCUCAGCUUACGAUUAUUUUCCUUUCCUUAUUCAGCUGAGAACCUUCACCUUUUCUCUUAAAGGAAGCACUUUACGGCUGCCCUUUGGCACAUCUGAAUUGCCAGCAUCACUACUCUUGUGCUUUCGGGCCAUUAUUAAGUCAAGUAAGGGUGACUUGAACACAAGCACUGCGAUACUGUGACCAGUGAUCUGACACCCGCGAGGACCACUGCGUGACUAGCAAGCGGACAGCGUGUACAGUGUGGAUACACUGGACGAACGAUGAUUCACGUCCCAGGCAGGAGGGAGGAGGAUGGUGUGGGAUUUCAUCACACUACUUAGAACGGCACACAAUGUAAAGCGUAUGAAUUGUUUAUUUCUGGAAUUUUCCAUUUACUAUUUUUGGACUGUGGUUGACUGCAGGUAACUGAAACUGGAAAGAGAAACCAAGGCUCAGGGGAGAUUGCUGUAUAGCAUAACAGCAUGUAUUUUCUCUCUGCAUCUUCAUACAGGUGCUUGUGCAUUUCGAGAAGGGGCUCUGACAACAUCCCUGAGUAGAAUCCUGAAAACGUCCAAUCCAAGCGUGGUCCUUAGGAAUGCCGUUUUCCAGGAUUUCCAGUUCUCUGCCUUCAGGGGCAUGGUGGGGUUGCACCGCACCUGCCUCUCUGAGGUCAGGUGUGGCCAUGAGCAUUUGCCAGGGGAAUCUGAGUGGAGGUGACAUGUCUCACUUCUGGGGUAAGCCAUGCUCACUCUGCCUCGGUGCCCAGAGAGGCUGCAGUGGCGCAUGCUCUGUCAACCGUGUCUCAGAGCAGCCAAGCGCUGGCUGACCUAUGAUAGGCAUGCAGUGAGAGAGAGGUACACUCUUCUUAGUGUGAGCCGUUGAUUUUAGGGUGGGUAGUUACUAGAUCAUAAUCUGGUGUGUCAUGGCUGAUGCUUCAAGUCUCUGUUCAACCCAAAGAGCCCCGUCCCUCUGUUGAAGGACUUCCCCUGGGUCUCUACCUGGGGUUGAUCUAAGGGACAGGUUUGGAGACCACUGCAGCUGGAUUUGGAAGGGACCCAUUGCUGACCUCAAAGUCACAUUGACCAAAGUAUAUUAAAAAUGGAAAAUUGAAAUUCGGAGAGUAAUGGCACUUGAUAGAUGCAUGGAGAUUUAAUUUUUCAAAGACUUUCCACAUCUAUCAAAAUUUUUCCCCAGAAUAACAACAAAAACAAUACGUGACAGAUUCCAUUUCCCAAUGUCUACCGUCUCAUUUGCUCUUCUGCAAUGCGACCUUGCCAUCCUCCAUCAAGAGGUGAAGUUGAUGUCUCAAUCCUUGAUUCUAGGCUGGACUGGGACUCCUUUGACCAGUAGAAUAAAUCCGGCAGAAGUUAUGCUGUGGUGGUUCUGGGAGUAGCUCUGAACUGGCUGGAAGCUUCUGCUUCCUGCCUGCCUUAUUCAGGCUCUGGGAUGAGACACCAUGUGGAGAGAGAGAGAGAGACAGAGAGAGACAGAGAGAGAGAGAGAAGGAGAGAGAUAGCAAGAAGUAUCGUUGUGCCAAAUGUGCAAGUGAAGAGGCAUACUGGGAAACGGAAUCUCGAGCCCCAGAGGCCCAGGGCUAAGAUGAACGACCCAGCUGGGUCCUUCCCCAAAUCCUUGACCCACACAAUCAUGAGUGAAAUAGAUGGUUGGUUGUAGCCACUACAUUUUGCAGUAGUAUAUUAUGCAGCACUAGAUAACCAAAGCAUCGAAACAACAGUAAAACCUGGGAGGGAUGUCAGGCAAGACUUAUUUUCUUAUUUUAAAGAUAAGACAACUGAUGGUCAUGACACUGAGUCCUGUUCCUGGGAUCGCGGUGCUCCUUGGUGGAAUAGGAAGGACUAGAACACACGUGUUCUGAUUGUCAAUCUAGCUCAGGGUUUUUCCACCACAGAAGACAUCCUGGCAUGUAGGAUGUUUGAGGCAAACCUUGCAGAGGCUCUAGACGAGAGGAAAAUGAAGGCCAGAGGUGGAGGGCCUUGCUUAUGGUCACAUGGGGAGUUGGGCCGCUGACCAGACAAUCCCCGUCUUCUGACUCCGGGGUUCAGUGCUCCGCCCUACAGCUUCUGAUUCCUCCAUUAUCUGAGAGAAGAGCCAAAUUGCUUGAAAAUUAAAAUGCGUUUUUGUUGCCUUCUUUUCUUGGUAAUAUCCUGUAAAAGCAAACGAUAAUUCUCAGGGGGAUGUUAAAUAAAAAGCUGUAAAACUACCUCCUUGCCACAGGCUGAACAUUUGAAGGGAGAUUUGCCGAGGAGGAGCCAUAUCGUUAGAGCCAAGGGAGCCAGGAGAGGAGGAGACUGCAGUCUGUUCCCACUGCGGGAGCCCCCGCCAGAGAGACAGCCCUGGCCCAGAGCGUCCCUGGCCAGUCGUUCUCUCUAAACAGGAACAUCUCUAUUGACACGCUUAAUAUAGAAUGCGUAACACUUUUAUAUGUAAUUUACAUAGUUGGUAUAACCAUUUUAUUGAACAAUUUAAAGUCCCAUCACUGUCUUCCAAUACGUUCUGUCAGAUGUCUUUCUCUCCCUAUAAUGUUACCUCUAGAAGAUUCCAUAGAUUUCUGGUCACUUCUCAGUUAUGAGAGCCCUGUUUUCAGGUAUUAAAAGGUCCAGUCAAAUCUAAACAAAAACUUCUUUUUCACGUCUCGCUUCCUCUCUCCUCCAGUUUAGAAGGAUCUAAGCUUGGAGACCUGCACCAAGGGCACGUGACUUUUUCACUCUCUCACUGUCCUUCUACAGCCCUGCUUCCGUCUCCUGUUCCCUCUACUUUAGCCCCCAAAGGUGCAUCCACAGCCCCUUACUGAUGGAUUUUCCCGACCUGGCAGACACUGCUUUUGAGUAGGAUUCCAUCACGAUGGCUCCAACCCACUAACUUCUGUGCCCACUUGAUACAUGGGAAUCACAUACAUCCUUGCCCCAUCUAAUGGUGCCCAUGCAGCCUGCCCAACUCUGUCCCAGCUCUCUGUGCCCUGACAUUAUGAGCAGCUUCUUCCAGGUUGUGCCCUCAUAAGUUUCCAGGCAGGAAUUAAACAGGAGUCUCUAGGCCCACUGCGGCACAAACUCCCAGAAGAAAUUGUCAAGUGACUGAAGAACGCUCACCAUUGUAUGGGUUAGCUACUGUGUGAUAAUGCCAUGUAACAAACCACCUUCCAACUCAGAGACGUGCAACAUUAAGCCCCUAUUCUCACAGUCAUGGGCUGCAGCUUGACUGAUACAAGUUGACCUAUCUGGGCAGCUCAGUUUCCAGUGGUGUUCUGGUCGGUGUUGGCUUCUUGCUGCUAGUUGGGCUCAGGUUUGACCCAUGUGUGUUCCUUCUGGGCCAAAGCUGAAGGGGAAGCAGCUACCCGGGGGAAGCUACACCCGGGAGACGACCGAAGGGCUAGAGAACAAACCAAAUGAUGCACGCACACUUUGAACCUCUGCCUGCACCAUGUCUGCUGAUAUCUCCUUGGCCAGAGCGAGCCCCCUGACUGAGUGCAGAGUCCACACAGGAGGAGGGCGUGGGGAUACUCUGCUCAUGACGGGCCAAAGCAAGUAACGUGGCCAAGCCCAACAUCAGUGGGGCGGGAAAGAGCCCUCCCACGGAGAGGGUUGGUUGGAGGGAAUGUCUGCUCCAUAGAAACCUAGUUUGCCACUGUCAUUGAGACGGGAUUCACUUUCUGCAACUCAGCUUCUCGCUGGAGAGCAAACUGCCAGCCUUCCUUCUUGCGGGCACCCCCAGUCUCUCCUCUUCCUCCCUUGAGGGGGUCACUCCGUCCCCUCCACUGUAGAGGGGUGGGGACCAGCUCUCUGAUCCUACUUUAUGUUCAGCGCACUCUGAGUGACCCAUCCUCUCGUCUAGCCGAGAUGGAGCAGUGGCUGCUAUUUGAGUGAUACUAUUAAAUUGUAAUAACUUUAAAAUGUUUUCAACUUAUUUCCUUUCUGAUUAUCAAAGAAGUAUAUUCUCUUUUGAAAGGAAAGGAAAAGCAUAAAGAUGCAGAAAAAGAUUUUCCCUACAAUCCCACCACCUAAAGGCUUUUAGAACAAACGUUGGUGUCAUGGCUCCCACUUAUACAACUAUUGCCUAGUCUGCGGUAAUGGAGUACCACCCCGUGGUGGAAACUUCCUGAAUUGCAGGUGAGCAGUCAUUUUCAAAGGAAGACGUGGAGAAAACGGAGCAAUAGGUUUGUUCACUUUCAUUUCAAGACAGAAGCCCUUGGAAGAUGAAGGAAGGAGAGGGGAGGGGUUGGACAAAGCACAGGCUUGGAAUCAGAGGAGGAACACAGAGGUGAUGGAGAGGCCUUUGAUAAGGUUCAUUUAUUUAACUCUCGUGCUGUCAGGCAUCCCUGUUUGUUACUAUUGUUAGAUUUCAUCGUGUUUUCACUGGCUAAAGUGUAGUAGGUUGAAGACCGUUUAAACCUGCUUUUUUGAUUGAGUAGCAGUUGGGAGCAAAUUGAAACAUAAUCUCCCCCAAUUUGAAAAUCAGGCAAAACUAUUUAAUCUUUUUAUCUAACUUUAGAUUCUGUGACUUUAAGAGAGCAAGAUAAAAGAAACAAUGACAAAGAAACUCAACCAAAACCCUUCUCUUUGAGUGGGAGGGUGUGGGUCUGGAGAAUUGGAAAAGUGGCCGAGAGCAGAGUGUGUGACCCGGGGACCCCAGAAAUGAGAUGUAUUUGCAGAAGCUAAAUAAAGGGGCCCUUGGUUUGGCAUGAUUCUCUUCUGUUUAAAUUGUGCUCUAAAAGGUUUCCACUUUAAUUAUAUUAGUUACCGCAGGAGGCCAACUGCUCAGGCAUUGCCUAGGCAACCGUCUGUGAUGGAUGCCUCCUCUGGACUGGGGGCCAGGGAAGGGCGGCUGGACCGGAGCGGGGAUUUCUGACCUUGUCAAGUCUGAAGGUCUGCCUAAAUGUCAAAAUAUUUCUGGUACCUCCACUGGUGGGUGCUGGUGCUUUUAGUAACCCUUUGUAUUUUGCGUUUGUUCUUUGCCACAGCAAAUUCCUACGUCUGAAAAUGCGAGCUUGCGCAUGGGGUGGGUGCCGCUAUUUCCUCGGGCUGCGCACAGUGCGUGGGCGCAGGCCGAUUCCUGGGCCUCUUCGGUUGCUCUGUGACCCGCACGCUGGGCCUCUCUAGGCCAGGGGAUCUCUCUAAGCUGUUCACGGUGGUGAUGGUGACAGGCCUUCCAAAACCAGCCUGGAAAAAAGUGCCAAGAGCCCACCUCACUGUCAUCUCAGGACAAAAUAACUGAGCUCUGAGAGAGGGUCUGUCACUGUUCCAGAUUCUUAAGGAGAGUCCAGGAACGUGGAAGAAGUUCAGAACUGCUCUGCCUGUGAAGAGGCAGGGUGCGUCAAGACUCAGCUGGAUGGAAGGAUGGCAAUGGCGUGGGUCAUCCUUGCCAUUGUAGCAACAGGUCUCAAUUACUGAGCGCCCGCCGCAGGCCGGGCACUGUACCUGAGCCAGUGGGGCGUAUUGUCAUCCUAGACCCCUGUAGUCUUCGUGACCAUCCUCCCAGUGGGUGUUAGCAAGCCUUUUACAGGGUAAAGUCCUGAGGCCAGAGUGUAAAUACCUGGACAGGGUCCUACAGAGAGCGAGUGGCAGAGACAGGACCCGGGCCCAGGUCUGGGUGCUCUCUCUGGGGCAUCACCCUGGGAGGGUGACAAUUGCUCCAAUGAGGUGUCCUGCUGGGAAUCCUUGCAAAUGGGUCAGGGACUCGACCUUCCCAUCCCGGCUGUCCCUGGAGGGCUGGGAGAGAAGACCUUGUAUUCAGAGUUGGGGCCAACCCAUUGAGAAAAUCCAGUCUCACAGGCGAGGCCUGAGGUGAGGUCCCUCCAACCCGACAGGUGGAUUCUCACCUUGAAACCCAGAGGGGCCCUGGGCUCAUGCCCAGAAAAGCCGGAUCUUUCCUUUCUCUAAACCCCAGCCAUUUGCUUUGCCCACACGGACCUGCAGCUUUUUUUAAGCUGGGGAGCAAACACUUUAGUUCGGGACUCUGAGUGUCUGCGCUUGGACGUCAGCGGCCUUUCUGUUACAGUUCUUUGUGGGGGGAUGGGCACAAAGGCCUCUCCUGAGAUGCGGCAAUGAUGCAGGGGGAGGGUCUGUCUGGACCUUACGCAGCAUCUUGGUGGGUGUCUGUGCCUGGGCAAGGACCUGGUCCCUCUUUUCUGUCCCCAGUGCCGUCUGGCUAGCUCCCCUCCCCUCCACAGUGCUCCUUGGUGUUGCCUCCUCUGGGAGCCUUCCUGACUCUGGGGAGCAUCUUGGGCCUCCUCCCACCGUGACCUGCCCUGUCCUGCAUGCUGCAGUCCUCUUCACAUGGUUUCCCUCCAGCAGGUGUCGGGGGGUUGUGUCUCCCUCAGCUCGGUGUCCCCAGCCUCAGCACAGUGCCUGGAGCUAAGUACUUAGUAAGGUGCUGCUGAGGAAGGCACAGUUUUCCAGCUGAGGAAGAGCCCUGAUCUGAAAACAAUCAAUGGUGAAGGGAAAGCACAUUGUAAGUGGCAGAGCCCCUCCUCCAACCAGCUUAAGCCGCAAGGGAGGAUUCGAGAUGGGAGUGGAUCCUGAUCCAGACUCAGAACACCGCCAGGCCCCCUCCGUCUCCCACCUCAGCUUCUCCUGCCUUUCAGUGUCGUUCUCAGACUAGCUCUCCAUGAGACAGGGCACAGCGUGAGGGAGGGCAGAACCCUCACCCAUCACUGCCUCCAGGGCAGGGGCUGUGGGCUAUCUCAACCUCUGUGUACCACUUAGGAGCUGUGUGACCUUGGGCAAGUUACUUAACCUCUCUGUGCCUGUUUCCUCACCAGUAAAAUGGAGAUAAUCAUAGUGCCUGCCUCACAGGAUUUUCGUGAGAAUUAAAUCAGCCAAUACAUGUAAAAUGCUUGGUCCAGUGCCUCGAAUAUAGUCAUAAAUGUUAGUUAUUACUAUUAUUAUUCAUUUUCAGCUCAACAACCCAUGUAUGCUCCUCCUUAGUCACAGGACAAACUCAAAAUCUGCUUUUCGUUGACUCCUAUAAUCUGGCCACAAAUCCCCAUCCAAGCUUUUCACUUACCGAAGAGGAAAAGCCCGCUCCUGUGUAUUUCUCCACUCUCGCACUCCUGCCACACUUCCCUUCUGACGCUUCUGUCACCAAACGUGUGGGGAUUUUCCUCACACCAAGCGAUUCCCCGCAACCCCCGCUGGGCGUCCUGUAACCCGCUUCAGUUCUGACACUCUCUAGCUGGAGUCAGCGCCAGAUCCCACAAGUUAAAGGCUCACCCACAAGACUGUCCCCACUUCAGACGCCAGUCGAGAGUCCCGGGUUGUCACCUGUUCCUCUGACUGACUGGCUACACAUCAGGGCCCUCACAAGUCCUCUUUGGUUUCUUUCAUUUGCUAGAACAGCUCACAGGACUCAGGGAAACGCUUACCCACAUAUCAAUCAGUUCCUUAUAUAAUAAAGGAGAUGAUAAAGGAUAUAGAUGAACAGCCAGCUGGAGGGAUCCAUAGGGCGAGGAAUGGAAGCAUCUCGAGCACAGGAGCUUCUGCUGUAGAGCUGGGGGGCACUACCCUCCCGGUACGUGGACCCAGAAGCUCCCCGAACCCCACACUAUUGCGGUUGUUAUGGAGGCUUCAUCACGUCGGCACGAUCGAUCAUUAACUCAACCUCCAGCCCCUCUCCCUUCCCAGAGGGGAAGCUUCGAAUCAUGGUUUGGUGUCUCUGAUGACCAGCCGCCAUCCAGGAGCCCACCAAGAGUCCCUCACUGGAACAAAAGAUGUUCCCAUCACCCGGGAAAUUCCAAGGGCUUUAGGAGCCGUGUUUCAGGAACCAGGGUCAAAAAUCAAAUAUUAGAACAAAAGAUGCUCCUAGCACUUGGGAAUUUACAAGGGAUUUAGAAGCUCUGCGUCAGGAACUGGGGUCAGAGACUAGAUGUUGGAACAAGAGAUGCUCCUAGCACCUCUGUUUACAAGGGUUUUAGGAGCUCUGUGUCAGGAACUGGGGCAGAGACGGCUACCCGUAUUUCUUAUUGUUUCACAUGUGUGUGUAUGUGUGUGUGUGUGUGUGUGUGUAUGUGUGUGUGAUGCACUGGUCCAGCCUCUACGCCUUUGCUCAUGCUCUGCUCCUGCUUGGUCUGCCCAUUGCUCAUUUCUCCACUCUUUUAAUUCCCUUCAAUUUUCAUGACCCCAGGGGUGUUCCACUCCUUCCAUGAAACCUGGCCUGGACACCAAAGCCCGCACGGGGUAGAAGCUGAUUUUCUCCCGGGGUCUCAUGUGUGGAAGCCCAUGGAGGGCAGAGUGGCCCUAUUUGCUCCAAAUGCCCAGGACCAGGCGUAGCCCUUGGUCAAUUUUUAUUAAAUAAAUUUGGUGUCUGCUUUGGUACUCGGAGAGAAACUUCCCAUGUCUGGCUUUAUUGAGACGAAUGACUCCCUUUAUUCUGAUUUUCUUGGAAGGAAACAAAAUCAAAGAAAGAAACCCUGAAACAGCUACAGUUUUAUAUAGAAAGCAUUAUUUCUGAGCUAAAUGAUUUUUUUCCUGAAGGAAAAUUUAGAAGUUGUAGCUUCUGAUGGAAUUAGAGGAAUGGAAAUGAAGUCACGCACAGAUUCACAGCAUCUGAAGAACUCGGUUUGGAUCCUAUUUUGCUUCUACAAAAUGCUAUAAAAGAUUCAAGCUUCUGGGCCAGUUCGGCUUUGCAGUAACACAUGUCCCUUGGGCUUCUCCCCAAAUUGCAUUUUUUCCUAGAUUCAGUCAAUUAUUUGCCUUGGAUAAUGUACUAGCUUUGCUGAGAACUUCUAGAAACCUGAUCCUUCUGGUCGUUCGCCGGCAAAGAAACCCUUUGAUUUCAAACAAAAAUGUCCUCACAGAUCAUUUGGAAACCAGGGUGACAGGGAAGUGCCUCAUUCCACCCCGUUCUGUCUGUUCUGUCAUCUCAGCCCGCCCCGCCCCCACAUCGUGUCUCCUGUCCUAGAUAUUGAAGGGUUCCCUCAGAAACACGC